UACGUAGGUGGCAAGCGUUGUCCGGAAUUAUUGGGCGUAAAGCGCGCGCAGGCGGUUUCUUAAGUCUUAUGUGAAAGCCCACGGCUUAACCGUGGAGGGUCGUUGGAAACUGGAGGACUUGAGUGCAGAAGAGGAGAGCGGAAUUCCACGUGUAGCGGUGGAAUGCGUAGAGAUGUGGAGGAACACCAGUGGCGAAGGCGGCUCUCUGGUCUGUAACUGACGCUGAGGCGCGAAAGCGUGGGGAGCAAACAGG
RNAcentral lists this ribosomal RNA (253 nucleotides) under uncultured bacterium. RNAcentral's name for it is "partial 16S ribosomal RNA". It matches the Rfam family "Bacterial small subunit ribosomal RNA", at positions 524 to 776 of the family's 1533-position model. The record is from RNAcentral.